Long non-coding RNA from Branchiostoma floridae (Florida lancelet), 220 nucleotides. RefSeq lists it as uncharacterized. Lineage: Eukaryota; Metazoa; Chordata; Leptocardii; Amphioxiformes; Branchiostomatidae. The record is from RefSeq and is a predicted model, not a curated record. The transcript is spliced from 3 exons.
GGGAGGAGAUCACUGGAAUGAUGAUUGUUGCGCUGGGGCGUUACUGGCAUGCAGAGCACUUCCGAUGUGCAAGAUGCGGCAUACCCUUCAAAGCAGUUGGACUUCCACACUACGAGCACGGCGGGAAAGCCUACUGUGAACAGCACUUCCAUGAGUUAUUCAGUGACUUCUGCUACGCCUGUGACCAGCCCAUAACGGAUGAAAGUAAGCAAAAAUUAUA